ACAAGGUAGUUUAAUGAAAACUUCUAUUUUACACGUAGGAAAUGGCUGUUAGCCUAUUGUUAA
RNAcentral lists this transfer RNA (63 nucleotides) under Orthocoelium streptocoelium. RNAcentral describes it as "tRNA-Val". The record is from RNAcentral. Lineage: Eukaryota; Metazoa; Platyhelminthes; Trematoda; Plagiorchiida; Paramphistomidae.